AACCAACUUCCAUCAAAUAUUCAUUCCAUAACUUAUUCAAAUCUAACAAACCAAAAGUAUCACAUGCAUUCUUAAAUUUUAGGUAUAUGAUACUAUUUACCAUAUGAAUAUCUUCAUAACAUAUAGGCCUUUUUAUAAUGUUUAACAGUAUUCACAGAUAAAAUCUCUCAUUACUUGUAGGAUGUGCAUAAUAUAUUCUUUCAAUAUAUCUUCC
Molecule: long non-coding RNA, 214 nt
Filed under: Elaeis guineensis (African oil palm)
Lineage: Eukaryota; Viridiplantae; Streptophyta; Magnoliopsida; Arecales; Arecaceae
Description: long non-coding RNA (EGUI_LNC019635)
Source: RNAcentral